This 468-nucleotide ribosomal RNA is filed under the name uncultured bacterium. RNAcentral's name for it is "bacterial SSU rRNA". It matches the Rfam family "Bacterial small subunit ribosomal RNA", at positions 333 to 793 of the family's 1533-position model. The record is from RNAcentral.
GCACUCCUAGGGAGGCAGCAGUGGGGGAAUAUUGCACAAUGGGCGCAAGCCUGAUGCAGCCAUGCCGCGUGUAUGAAGAAGGCCUUCGGGUUGUAAAGUACUUUCAGCAGUGAGGAAGGUGGGUAUGUUAAUAGCAUAUUCAUUUGACGUUAGCUGCAGAAGAAGCACCGGCUAACUCCGUGCCAGCAGCCGCGGUAAUACGGAGGGUGCGAGCGUUAAUCGGAAUUACUGGGCGUAAAGCGCAUGCAGGUGGUUUGUUAAGUCAGAUGUGAAAGCCCGGGGCUCAACCUCGGAAUUGCAUUUGAAACUGGCAAACUAGAGUACUGUAGAGGGGGGUAGAAUUUCAGGUGUAGCGGUGAAAUGCGUAGAGAUCUGAAGGAAUACCGGUGGCGAAGGCGGCCCCCUGGACAAAUACUGACACUCAGAUGCGAAAGCGUGGGGAGCAAACAGGAUUAGAUACCCUGGUAG